AAUGGAAGUGAGCAGUUGAUGCAUAUGGCCGCAUGGGCAGCCUACCGGACCUGACGGAGCGUUCGCGGUCGAGCGUCCGCCCAGCCGCGCGGACCAUCUCAGACCCCAAUCGACAUAGAACCGUUGUACCACAGAUUCCUGUUAACACAAUAUACAAGAAGGAAUGGCCAUGGAGGAAAACAAAGACCCCUAUAAAGUUGCCACCUGUGCCUGGAAAUCGACGGAGAGAGUCAGUUGCAUCGUCCCUCGGUGCCGCCUCAGUCCGGCGCCUUAUUACGCGACCGCCCCAAAAACUCCCCAAACCUGUUAUUACACGGUUCACUCUUCUCUGCAUAGCAAGUGGCCUCUCCUCCACAGCUCUUCUCCCUUUCACGGCAUACGCAGGCGCCGAAGCUGGUGCCAUGCCUUUAGCUAUAAUGCACACCAUCGCGGCCAUUGCAUCACCUUUCUCUCCCAUCAUCCUACAAAAAGCAGGAACCAGGAUAGUCAUUAAUUUAAGCUACGUUUUGAUUUGCGUUCUUUUAGCCGCUCAUACGGUUGAUACGCCUCUGUCUAUUCUUCUCUUUCUCUAUAGUAUUUGUGGGGUUAUGCUCUCUCCAAUGGAACUGGCUCUGGCUGCGUCUGCGACGUCUUUUUCACAAGCAGCUGGCGAUGAAUGCAGGAAGAAAAUAGCGCUGAGACGAGCGUUGAGAGCUCUUCGAGCGUCACAUGACUUGGGGCUGGUGUUGGGAUCGCUUAUGUUAGGAGGAGCUUUAUUAAUCUGGCCAGAAGAUUUAUUACCACUACUGCAGCCAAAUUCAAUACAUAAUUAUACAACGCCAAGUUGGCCACCAUCAGAGGAUGAUUUAGUUGAAGAAGACUUUGAGGAAAGGACAUGUGGAGCGUUCGGUUGUCCAGACAUCCAGUCACUGGUAGGCACGGCUCUUAGUGCAAAUGGUCGCCGGGUUUUGGUAGCUGUUUGGGCGUUUAUGGCGUUAGUUGCCUCGAUUUUGGCCCUCUACGGGGCAGCUGCAACUCCAUCACCACCGCCAGAUGCUCGUUCUGUGCUUAAAGAUGCCAGAGGACUUCUAGGAAUUCCCAUGGGAUUAUUUAUUGGAUUGCAACAGGGUUUUAUAUAUACUUCAUACAUUAAGUGGUACGGCGUAUGUGUAGGUGGUUGGAACGAAGCUUGGCGUGCACUUUGCGGCGCUGGAGCGCUACAAGCGUUAGCCGCUGCUACUCUCAGUAUGGCAGCCGCUCGAGGAAGACGUAGCUAUUUAGGCGCUGGAGGUGCUGCAGCCCAUGCUUCAUUGUUGCUAGCGUUACUUCGCUGGAGAGCUGCUAAAACUGAUCUAGCUCUACCCACAGUUGCAGCCGCUGCAUGGGGCGCUUGUUCCGCUUUGUGGGAUGUGUUACAGGGUGGAAUAUCAGUAGGAGGUCCUGGGUGGCGUGGGCCUUGGUCCCUUACACUCAGCGCACGACAUGCGGGGCUGGCUCUAGCCUGUGCAGCGCGACAGGUUCUCUGUGUGAGGACACAGCUCGCUGUUCUAGCACUUGCCCUUUUCACCGCCUUGUCGUCCCAUGCUGUACUGGAGCUGCGGCUUAGGAGGGAAAUCCGUCAUCGCUCCUAGCGACGGUAUGGCCAAGCCAAAGAGAACAAUGCAUUCCAUGUUAUGGCUUGACAGUGACAAGUUUUGAUGUUUGGUGUUAUGAACAGUGUUUAGUGUCAGAUUCUUCCAUUUACUUGACAUUGACAGAAUCUUUUCUAACUGGAAAGCAACUUAAAAUGAAUGUCAUGUUUGACCAAGAAGAUGGCAAUGUUAUCUUUAAUUCAUAUAGUUUGUAAGUUAUUUACCGAUUUCAUAAUAAGAAUAACGCAGAAAUGGCCGAAGUUUUUUUAUUUAGAAUUCUUGUGUAAUAAAAUGCAAGAUCAUAUUAGUCUCAUCGAUGUCGCAGCCCUUAUUCAUUUUUGUACCGCGCUCCCAAUGUUGGGUUUUCGGCGCUACGGAUAUUAAGAGAAAUGAAUCAAACUUGAAUACAAACACGUCAUAAUCGAUAUUAGAUGUUACGAACCCUGGCGUCUGUUAUAGACUUCACCUGUUCAUAUCACAUCUAUUCUGUGGUAGAAACUUCGUACAUUUCCGCCUCGCCUUUGCUAAACGUUUCAAUCUACUAAUUGCUUUACACCACUAGAUUUUUCUUAUGGUUAUGACAUAUCGCUUGCCCAGGGGAACAAAGUCGUAAAAGCUAAAUCUAUUAUUUUCGAGGCAAAUAAAAGAAGGUAGGUAAUGCUAUUGUUUUCCUAUGCGACGAUUUAAACAUUAUUUUUUUUUAAUUUAGUGUAAAUAGUUAAAAAAAUAACUAAAUGUACAUAACAGUAAUUUAUCUAAUUAGACUGAAAAAGGCGUUUUAUGAUUGAUUAACUCCGUACAUUACGACGGUAAUUUUGACGAAUGUCUCGAACGCAAUAAUUUAUAACUCUCUCUUCGCGUAUAAUAAUUUAUACGUAAUGACCUUGGUGAAACAGAGAUAUAUUAUUAUCUCUCUUUCUUUGUUUUUAAACUGUCACAUUAACUUUUAUGAUUAUUUGGUAAAAUUACAAUCUGAAUAAAAAUUAUCUUUAUAGUUGUUGCUAUCUAUUUCAGGAUAGUAAAAUUAGAAAAACGUUUAUUACUAAUAUUGUGAACAAAAAAAUCCGUGGAGUAUAGCCAUUCUUUCUUCUUUUUUUUAAAUAAAAUGUUUUGAAAAUUAUAGUUAUAUUAUAUAAAAUUACAUCACCCAAAGUAGUCAAAUAUGAGAAAACAUUAAAACAGUCGUAAUAGUGCUUUACGACUUUGAUCCCCGGGCAAGCGAUAUAAUACAAAUAAUAAUGAUGAUUUCAUUGUAUCUUCAUCUAAAACUUGGUGUAUAUAAUAGACUUUCUAUUGCCCCAAUCAGGGUAGACUUUCUAAAGUGCUGUGAAUGUUAAUUGUUAGUAAAAAAUCGUUGCUUCUUUAUAUCGUCAAAUAGAACUCCAUUUCAUAUGCACAUUUUAAAACUUAUAUAUCACUCGUCUUGAGAUUGAAAAUCUACUUUAAAAUGUUAUAUAUUAUAACGAAUUUGUAUUAAUAAGUGUAUCGAAAUAUCGAUUUUUACUCAUGAAUGAAACGUAUCAAAUACCUGUGAAAUAAAUCCGUAUUAAACUUGACAAUUUAAUGACCAAAAACAACCACUGCGCAUGUGUAGACUUUUGGUAACGUGAGGGGAACUAUACAAGAUACAUCUUGAAAACUAUCGCGUCUAAAGCUUGCUAUAGACCAGUGUUUCCCAAACUUAUGUGCCAUGUGCCUUUCUAAAGUUCUUACGUUACAUACAUACAUACAGAAACUUAAAUGAUAGGUUUUAGGAAUCAAUAGGGAUUUGUUAACGAAACACAGUAAGUAAAUUUUCAGAACAUAUAAUGAAAAAAUGAAAUUCAAAUUCAAAAUAAUUUUAAAAAAGAUUUUUCUAUAUUAAUUAAUUAUUUUAAUUUAGUGAGAUCCUUGCGCUUGAUACUUGCUGCAUAGAGAUAUUAAGUUAGCUUCAGUCUCAAGUCUCCACGUUGUCCAGCCGAUUUCGAUUUCCCCUCCCCCUUAACAAAUUGCCCCCCUAUGGCGUGUGGUCCACGUUGGGAAACACUGCCAUAGACACUUGACUCGACAAUUUUCAAGAUUCUAUUUUAACUUGCAACGUUUUUUGUUGCGAGUCGCGUAUCAAACUAUAAGAUGUAUAAAGAUAUAAAAGGGUAUCAAAAACUAUAUCUAUGCUACUUUGUUUAGUCAUUAGUGCAACAAAAAUUGUUUACGUUUAAUCUUUAUAACUUCCAAUGUUAGUAAAUAAUUACUUGUAAGUUGUAUCAAUAAUAAUUACAUUGUAUUUGUUUAUAUAGUUUUCCUAUAUAAGCAGAUAAGCCAGAAUAAUUUGUAAUUUUAGUUAUUAUAUUGUAUUUACAACUGUAUUGUUGUAAUAAAGAUUCUUAUUCUCAGUAUGACUCAAAUUUUUCGAUUGAUAAGUAUGUGUUAAAUGUUUAGAUUUAUAUGGAAAAUAAAUAUUGAUUGUUGGUU
Pieris napi is the source of this 4061-nucleotide RNA transcript. RefSeq lists it as uncharacterized. NCBI's taxonomy places the organism in Eukaryota, Metazoa, Arthropoda, Insecta, Lepidoptera, Pieridae. The record is from RefSeq and is a predicted model, not a curated record. The transcript has 6 exons.